AAAAGGCCCAUUAUGUUUAAGUUGUAUAACAACUAAAGCAAAAUGGGCAAAUAGCCCAAUAACAUCAAAGAGGCUGGCCAUUAGGGUGGAUGGGCAAACUUGGAUUAAUUACAAGUUUGCCACUCACUUGUAAUGAAGUAUAAAUUCAACUUUAUAGCUUUAUUUUCAUUUAGGGUUUUCUUAAAAGAAAUUGGGUGAAACACUUUCUCUCAUUUUUCUCUAAAGAGGCCGGCCACUUAGGGGAGGGAUAUCUAGCAAUCUCUUCUUCCCUAAGUCAUCCAUAUUGUCUUCACAAAAUACAUCCUUGGUGUGGAGACUUAGAGACAUCAAACUUUUGGUGUUU
Molecule: long non-coding RNA, 343 nt
Filed under: Malus domestica (apple)
Lineage: Eukaryota; Viridiplantae; Streptophyta; Magnoliopsida; Rosales; Rosaceae
Description: long non-coding RNA (MDOM_LNC019775)
Source: RNAcentral